CCUACGGGAGGCAGCAGUGAGGAAUAUUGGUCAAUGGGCGAGAGCCUGAACCAGCCAAGUAGCGUGAAGGAUGACUGCCCUAUGGGUUGUAAACUUCUUUUAUAAAGGAAUAAAGUGAGGCACGUGUGCCUUUUUGUAUGUACUUUAUGAAUAAGGAUCGGCUAACUCCGUGCCAGCAGCCGCGGUAAUACGGAGGAUCCGAGCGUUAUCCGGAUUUAUUGGGUUUAAAGGGAGCGUAGGUGGGUUGUUAAGUCAGUUGUGAAAGUUUGCGGCUCAACCGUAAAAUUGCAAUUGAUACUGGCAGGCUUGAGUACGGUUGAGGUAGGCGGAAUUCGUGGUGUAGCGGUGAAAUGCUUAGAUAUCACGAAGAACUCCGAUUGCGAAGGCAGCUUACUAAACUGCGACUGACAUUGAUGCUCGAAAGUGUGGGUAUCAAACAGGAUUAGAGACCCGAGUAGUC
RNAcentral lists this ribosomal RNA (460 nucleotides) under uncultured bacterium. Its description in RNAcentral is "partial 16S ribosomal RNA". It matches the Rfam family "Bacterial small subunit ribosomal RNA", at positions 338 to 795 of the family's 1533-position model. The record is from RNAcentral.